Molecule: small RNA, 6385 nt
Filed under: Pongo abelii (Sumatran orangutan)
Lineage: Eukaryota; Metazoa; Chordata; Mammalia; Primates; Hominidae
Description: retained intron
Source: RNAcentral
GAUGGGCCAGCAGCACCCUAAGCCAUUCACUCCAUGGGGCCCAGUAGGACAGGACAAGAAAUGGCUCGGGGCAGGGAGAGAACAGCCACCUGUGGAGGACACAGCCCCUCAUCAGCGACCGGGUUCACCCAUCACGGGGGUAUCCCUGCUCAGAGAGAAGAGGCCUAAGGAGCACUGGGGUCCAGUCCCAAGACAGUCUGGUGUCCAGGGAUACAGAGGCGCCCCCACCCCCUCACAGCUCUGCAGGCCAUGCACGAAGGCCUGUGUGGAUGAGAACCGUGUGUGUUGGUAAGAGGCACAGGCCUCGCCCUCUGGGGCCUCACCUCCUCCUUGAACUCAAAUUCUGACAGAGCCCCCAUCACAUUCCCCUGUGCCUCUGCGGCCAUUCCCUGCAGAUCAUCUGCCCAGCGGCCCCCUCCACCUGACAGGUGACCCUCACAAGGGGCCAGGAGGAACAGAGCCACAGCCAUGCCUCCUGUGGCCAGGGGUCCUCCUCAGUCUAGACAGCACCUGCGAUGCUCCACAGCACCUGCGAUGCUCCACGGCACCUGUGCCCCUCCUCGUGUGCCUGGUGGCCAGGACCCACUCCCUGGCUCAGGCUGUGGGCAAGACAGGCAGCACCCCUCAGGGCAGCCAUGUGAGUCCCAUCGCACCUGUCACUCAGCCAUGGACUGUCCGUCUGCCCAGCACCCCUCCCCACUGGGGAACUUCACGGCUCUUAGGGUCAGUGCAUAUGUGUGCGUGUGCAUGUGCUCACACAUCCUGAAGUCCCCCUGGGCUCAGCCCUUCACUGGCUUUGAGCUCCUCCGCCUGAGGACUCCUGGGUGGACAAAUGGGCUGGCCAGAGGUGAAGGCAGCAGUGACUGGGGGCCUCGGGAGAAGGCUGUGGCCCAGUGUGACCACAGGGCAGAAAGGGCAUGCGGAGGAGAGGCCGGACAGUGGCUUGUAGGAAUGAAGGCCCAGGCAGCAAAGACAAGAGUAUGAGGUUGACCAGAUGGCUCUGGGGCUGGGGGUGUUUCUGUGAUUUCAAGUGAUCACAUAGUGAAUUAUUUUUACACUUAACAAAGCCACCGAAGUAUGGAAAUCCAUCCUGACAGCAGAAGACUAGGUGUGUGAAGUCACUUUAGAAGUCAUUCUGUGUUGGGGGGUUUGGAGGGGCCUCUGUGGAGCCCACAGCUUGUCCCCUCUGCCUUCUGGGCUGGCCCAGGGCUUGGAGGCAGAGGCCCCUUGGGGUCCUGGUGGGAUGAGCCAUUGUGUGGGGAGGGCCUACUGUGGCCGCACUGGGAGGGAGCCUGGACGCCAGCUCCGCGGCAGGAUUGCACCUCCCCCUCUCCUCCUGGCCAUGCCUGUGCUGAGGCCCUGGGAGGGCGGUGCCUGACCUCUGAGAAUGUCGCUCUAAUGGUGGAAUUUCAGGUACCGCCACGUAGGGAAGAGUCUCGUGAGAAGGGCAUUUUCCAGCCUCUGUCACAAAAUCUCCACGGGAAUUCAGACCUCAUCUAGUUCCACCCUCUUGUUUUGCAGAAGAGGAGGCUGAGGGCCUGGGAGACCAAGGCUGCCCACCUGUGGGUGGCAAAGCCCAGGCACCCAGCGCCCCCAGCUCCCUGCCCCCUGCUCUUUCCGCCCACCCACACACCCAGCAGCUGGCCUCUGCUCGCUUGCUGGACACCUCGACAGCCCCACCGCCAGCUGCAGGUGCGCACAAGGGACCCGUCACAAGCAUCUUGCCCUGUGGCCUCCUCGGAAGCGAGCGAGUGGACCACAGAGGUCGUUUCCCAACCAUGUGGCUGAGCCCAGCCCGAGGCAGGACAGGGCUCAGGGUGGGAAGCAGGGCUGCUCGGAGGAGCCAGGAUGGGGCGGCCAAGCCGAUGGCCUGUGGAGCUGCCUCCGGACUCCUAACGCGCCGGGUGUUUUUGCUCCUGCUGUCACUUAUGUAUCGGUGUCACUCUUGCUUCAUCUUAUCUGUUUCCUUCCAGGUCCAGCUUUAGGGGCGGCUGCCAGGCCUUAGGAGCCUUUGCAAUGGUUUUGUAUUCCUGUAGACACCAGAUAUAAACAGAUUUAUAUAUUUGUGUCCCUCCCCUGCUCCCCCCGGUUCCCCAGCCCGAUGCACACUCUACACGCAGGCCACUCUGACCUCUGACCCCGUGUUCCAUGUGGCAGGAGGGCCCGCCCCGGGCCAGGCCCCAGGUCAUGGCUGCUGGCUGUCUGUGGCGGAAGUCCUUGGUUGUUUCCUCUCCCCUCCUCCCGGCUCUGACCAUUCUGUCCGUCUAUCUCGUCUCGUCCUCAGUUUCAAAGCAAUGUCAUGAAGGGCUUCCUUUCCAUGCCUAAAAGGAAACAAUAUGUUUUUGGAAAGAGGUGGGGUUGGGGCGGGUUCUGGGGCAACUUGGGGCCCUCGGUCUUGGGGCAAUCAGAGGAUAUCUCUGGAUCGGCUGGCAUCAUAGCCAGCUGGGAGCCUCCCAAGCCUGGGUCACGUUGGAGAAUCUGCCACCCGAGGGAGGCAGGGCCAGGCUGGGAUGCAUCGGCCUGCUUUGGUGGAGACGCCAGGGCCUGCAGUGGGCUGAACCGUAUUGUUUCCCUUUGAGGCCAGUCCUGGUCCUCGUCCCCAUCCAUAGCUCAUGCUUUUUGAUUUGCAUCUUUCUUUGCAUGGACAUGCCGAGUAGUGAUAAGCAGGGUUUUCUGUUCUUUUGGGCAUCUCUGGUCAGACUCUUCUCUUUCAGAUCCCGUGUCAGAGCAUUAGGUUCAGGUGUGUCAUUGCUGUGUCCUUUGAGCCCUAAAACCAAGGGCGUGACCAAGGUGUGCAGGGAGAUCUAGCCCUGUGAGGAAGCGGCACGGUGGCCGCAGCGCAGGAGGUAAGGACACCCUGGUCUCUGUGCCUAGGUCCGUGCAAGAGAGCGGCCAGGGCAGCCGGGAGAAGCUGGAGCUCGUCCUGUCGAACCUGCAGGCGGACGUCUUGGAGUUGCUGCUGGAGUUUGUCUACACGGGCUCCCUGGUCAUCGACUCGGCCAACGCCAAGACACUGCUGGAGGCGGCCAGCAAGUUCCAGUUCCACACCUUCUGCAAAGUCUGUGUGUCCUUUCUCGAGAAGCAGCUGACAGCCAGCAACUGCCUGGGCGUGCUGGCCAUGGCCGAGGCCAUGCAGUGCAGCGAGCUCUACCACAUGGCCAAGGCCUUCGCGCUGCAGAUCUUCCCCGAGGUGGCCGCCCAGGAGGAGAUCCUCAGCAUCUCCAAGGACGACUUCAUUGCCUACGUCUCCAACGACAGCCUCAACACCAAGGCUGAGGAGCUGGUGUACGAGACGGUCAUCAAGUGGAUCAAGAAGGACCCCGCGACACGCACACAGUACGCGGCUGAGCUCCUGGCCGUGGUCCGCCUCCCCUUCAUCCACCCCAGCUACCUGCUCAAUGUGGUUGACAAUGAAGAGCUGAUCAAGUCAUCAGAAGCCUGCAGGGACCUGGUGAAUGAGGCCAAACGCUACCAUAUGCUCCCCCACGCCCGCCAGGAGAUGCAGACGCCCCGAACCCGGCCGCGCCUCUCUGCAGGUGUGGCUGAGGUCAUCGUCUUGGUUGGGGGCCGUCAGAUGGUGGGGAUGACCCAGCGCUCGCUGGUGGCCGUCACCUGCUGGAACCCGCAGAACAACAAGUGGUACCCCUUGGCCUCACUGCCCUUCUAUGACCGCGAGUUCUUCAGUGUAGUGAGUGCCGGGGACAACAUCUACCUCUCAGGUGGGAUGGAAUCAGGGGUGACGCUGGCUGAUGUCUGGUGCUACAUGUCCCUGCUUGAUAACUGGAACCUCGUCUCCAGAAUGACAGUCCCCCGCUGUCGGCACAAUAGCCUCGUCUACGAUGGGAAGAUUUACACCCUCGGGGGACUUGGCGUGGCGGGCAACGUGGACCACGUGGAGAGGUACGACACCAUCACCAACCAAUGGGAGGCGGUGGCCCCUCUGCCGAAGGCAGUACACUCUGCUGCAGCCACGGUGUGUGGCGGCAAGAUCUACGUGUUUGGUGGGGUGAACGAGGCAGGCCGAGCUGCCGGCGUCCUCCAGUCUUACGUUCCUCAGACCAACACGUGGAGCUUCAUCGAGUCCCCAAUGAUUGACAACAAGUAUGCCCCCGCUGUCACGCUCAAUGGCUUCGUUUUCAUCCUGGGCGGGGCUUAUGCCAGAGCCACCACCAUCUACGACCCUGAGAAAGGAAACAUUAAGGCGGGCCCAAACAUGAACCACUCUCGCCAGUUCUGCAGUGCCGUGGUGCUUGAUGGCAAGAUUUAUGCAACUGGAGGCAUUGUCAGCAGUGAAGGGCCCGCGCUGGGCAACAUGGAGGCCUACGAGCCCACAACCAACACAUGGACCCUCCUCCCCCACAUGCCCUGCCCUGUGUUCAGACACGGCUGCGUCGUGAUAAAGAAAUAUAUUCAAAGCGGCUGACAUCAGCAGAAAGCCCACAAUAAGACUGUGGACAAGUCUGGUGAGGCAAGUGCCAUGCAAUGAUAAUUUUCCAGCGACACCAACAAGAGGCCAACAAAACACAAUCAAGGAACUCACUGCGCUCAACAUGUUGAAUAUUCUCUACAUUGAAUGUAGAAAAUCAUCCUCGCCUUUGGAUGUAACGGAGGCACCGCGCUUGGAGCCGCAGGAACCACGAUCCCGCUGCGGGGCUGGCUGCCUCCUGAACAGGGGCGCUCGCUCUGCCAGGUGCAAUAGAGUUUCACAUAUUUUUCAACUGGGAGAGAGAAGCCGUUUUUUCCUUCCUGCAGAGCAAGCUUGAUCCCUAAACAACCAUAGAUCAGUUAUCUUAUGACAACAUUAGGCAUCAGGCUCUCUUGGAAUAAGAUCAAAGUGUCCUUAUCACUUUGAUUCCAACUUUUGUUUUUUAACCAGUCUACACUUUCAGUGGCCGACAGAAAACAAGGGACAAUACUGUGCAUCACAAGGCCUAGGAGGCUGCUGGUCCCCACCGGGGCUGAAGAGAAGCCCAGCUGCCCACGCGGAGCCAGGGGUGGCAGCCGUGGGACAGCCGGGGAGCGGGGACAGCAGUCUGUCCUUCACAGGUUUUUCUACUGUGUUUUUGCUGGAGAAGGACAGUGAUUGCGCUAGCUUUCUCUUACCCAGGAUGAAUUAUUUAGAUUUCUGAGGCAUUUUCUUGAUAAACAAAAGGCUAUUUUUAAGUACUGAGAGGAGGAGCAGGCCACAAGAGGGAUAAUGUUGUGGGAAUUCCCAAAGCUCUUUGUAAGUAGUGCCAGAGGGGGGCUUUUGCUCUCAUUUUUCUAUGUGCAGAAUAGAGGAUCUCUCCUGGGGUGGGCGAUGCCCCCAUUUUAUUUUUAGAAAAAGUAACUCCCAGACAGCCCCAUAAAAGCUGUGCCCAAGGAAGAAGAGUCUGCUCUAGAAGGAGCCCGGUUCUGGCUCAGGACAACGGCCCAGCUCCCUCCAUGAGGUCAAGCUGAGGACCCAGGCCAGUGGGAAGGGAAGGAGGGAGAAUAAGCAUCUAUAAAGCACAGGAGACUAUUUUUGAUAUUCAUAGCUAUAUAUUAAGGCACCUGCCGCAAGAGCUCUCAGGAUGGGGACAGCCUUCUUAGUGGAGGCAUGGCAGCAAGGCCUGAGGGCAUGAGCAGAACCACUCUUCUUGUCACAUACGAACCUGAGAAAAGGGAAGCCAGGAGGGAGGUCACACCAUGGCUCAAAAGGGAAAGGUCUUCCCGCUUGUCCUUAGCCCCUCAAACCUCACACGGUCAACAGUUUCCAUUCCAGGGCAGGAAGAAUGCUGCCGCCACCGCCGCCGCCACUGCGCUGUUGAGUUGAAGUUGGUACCAAAUACACAUUUACCACUUUUAUAUCUGGGAAGUCAACUUGCCAUCGUUUCAUGAUAACAACCAUUUGUAAGAGAAAAAGGACACGCUUUCCAUCGUUCAGUAUUUAUUUGAUGACACAAAAUUCCAGUUCUAACGCUGGGCAUCAACUUCUAGCACUACGAGUGUGGCUCCCACUUGGACAAGAUACCGAGCUUCGUUAUGCAGUUUUUAAUAUUAUUUAUUAUUUUAAAAAGUAAUAAGCACAAAACUACAUACAUUGUAUGUCAUUUAAAGUAUUUAUGUCAAACAGGGUGCAAGUGUGAACCCAAGGACUGGAGCACAAAUUCCUAACUGCCUGGGGCAGGGCUAAUGUUAGCAUUGGUGUGCGUCUGCCUCCAAAGGAGGUUCUAGUGGUCAGCGAGACUCAACACAGAUGACAUUGAAAUUCCGUUUCUCUCCUCAUCUAUCACACUGGAGCAAAACUGGCUAUUUCUGUGAAUGAUAUAAAACAGGGUUCUCUGUAAUGGUAUUGUACAUAGUAUAUGUUUAUUGUUAAGUUCUUGUUAUAUUAUAAUAAAUAUAUUUAUAGAUCUAGACUUGG